CAUUUCAUCAUGUCAAUCGGGAUUAGCUCCAAGAAGCUUGAACAUCAUCCAAGACACUUUGUGGGUUCUAUUUAGAUGAUCAGUCAACACAAGGGAAAGACUUGAGUUACUUCCAACAGGGGUCUAUUCGUUAGUCAAAACGUUAAUCUUGAAGGGGCAAAGGUUUGUUCAUUAGAUGUCAUGCUCGCUAGGCGAAGCCCACGUGUUUCUAAAAUAAAAUAAAUAAAAUAAAAAAUAAACGGAA
RNAcentral lists this long non-coding RNA (244 nucleotides) under Lathyrus oleraceus (garden pea). Its description in RNAcentral is "Pisum sativum (pea) long non-coding RNA (PSAT_LNC006852)". Lineage: Eukaryota; Viridiplantae; Streptophyta; Magnoliopsida; Fabales; Fabaceae. The record is from RNAcentral.